Molecule: ribosomal RNA, 254 nt
Filed under: uncultured bacterium
Lineage: Bacteria
Description: partial 16S ribosomal RNA
Rfam family: Bacterial small subunit ribosomal RNA
Source: RNAcentral
UACGUAGGGUGCAAGCGUUGUCCGGAAUUAUUGGGCGUAAAGAGCGUGUAGGCGGCCCGACCAGUCCGCUGUGAAAGUCCAGGGCUCAACCCUGGAAUGCCGGUGGAUACUGUCGGGCUAGAGUCCGGAAGGGGCGAGUGGAAUUCCUGGUGUAGCGGUGAAAGUGCGCAGAUAUCAGGAGGAACACCGGUGGCGAAGGCGGCUCUCUGGGCCUUACCUGACGCUGAGGAGCGAAAGCGUGGGUAGCGAACAGG